Molecule: ribosomal RNA, 506 nt
Filed under: uncultured bacterium
Lineage: Bacteria
Description: partial 16S ribosomal RNA
Rfam family: Bacterial small subunit ribosomal RNA
Source: RNAcentral
AGUGAACGCUGGCGGUAGGCCUAACACAUGCAAGUCGAACGGCAGCACAGGAGAGCUUGCUCUCUGGGUGGCGAGUGGCGGACGGGUGAGGAAUACAUCGGAAUCUACUCUGUCAUGGGGGAUAACGUAGGGAAACUUACGCUAAUACCGCAUACGACCUACGGGUGAAAGCAGGGGACCUUCGGGCCUUGCGCGAUUGAAUGAGCCGAUGUCGGAUUAGCUAGUUGGCGGGGUAAAGGCCCACCAAGGCGACGAUCCGUAGCUGGUCUGAGGGGAUGAUCAGCCACACUGGAACUGAGACACGGUCCAGACUCCUACGGGAGGCAGCAGUGGGGAAUAUUGGACAAUGGGCGCAAGCCUGAUCCAGCCAUACCGCGUGGGUGAAGAAGGCCUUCGGGUUGUAAAGCCCUUUUGUUGGGAAAGAAAUCCAGCUGGCUAAUACCCGGUUGGGAUGACGGUACCCAAAGAAUAAGCACCGGCUAACUUCGUGCCAGCAGCCGCGGUAA